AAGGGAGCUUGCUCCCGGAUGUUAGCGGCGGACGGGUGAGUAACACGUGGGUAACCUGCCUGUAAGACUGGGAUAACUCCGGGAAACCGGAGCUAAUACCGGAUAGUUCCUUGAACCGCAUGGUUCAAGGAUGAAAGACGGUUUCGGCUGUCACUUACAGAUGGACCCGCGGCGCAUUAGCUAGUUGGUGGGGUAAUGGCUCACCAAGGCGACGAUGCGUAGCCGACCUGAGAGGGUGAUCGGCCACACUGGGACUGAGACACGGCCCAGACUCCUACGGGAGGCAGCAGUAGGGAAUCUUCCGCAAUGGACGAAAGUCUGACGGAGCAACGCCGCGUGAGUGAUGAAGGUUUUCGGA
Molecule: ribosomal RNA, 358 nt
Filed under: Bacillus sp. LT97
Lineage: Bacteria; Bacillati; Bacillota; Bacilli; Caryophanales; Bacillaceae
Description: bacterial SSU rRNA
Rfam family: Bacterial small subunit ribosomal RNA
Source: RNAcentral